UACGAAGGGGGCUAGCGUUGCUCGGAAUCACUGGGCGUAAAGCGCACGUAGGCGGAUUGCUAAGUCAGGGGUGAAAUCCUGGAGCUCAACUCCAGAACUGCCUUUGAUACUGGCGACCUUGAGUCCGGGAGAGGUGAGUGGAACUGCGAGUGUAGAGGUGAAAUUCGUAGAUAUUCGCAAGAACACCAGUGGCGAAGGCGGCUCACUGGCCCGGUACUGACGCUGAGGUGCGAAAGCUAGGGGAGCAAACGGG
RNAcentral lists this ribosomal RNA (253 nucleotides) under uncultured bacterium. Its description in RNAcentral is "partial 16S ribosomal RNA". It matches the Rfam family "Bacterial small subunit ribosomal RNA", at positions 524 to 776 of the family's 1533-position model. The record is from RNAcentral.